RNAcentral lists this ribosomal RNA (520 nucleotides) under uncultured bacterium. RNAcentral's name for it is "bacterial SSU rRNA". It matches the Rfam family "Bacterial small subunit ribosomal RNA", at positions 26 to 518 of the family's 1533-position model. The record is from RNAcentral.
AGGACGAACGGCUGGCGGCGUGCCUAAUACAUGCAAGUCGAACGGUCUUUCUAUGGAAGCUUGCUUCCACUGAGAAGAUAGUGGCGAACGGGUGAGUAACACGUGGGUAACCUGCCCAUAAGAGGGGGAUAACAUCCGGAAACGGGUGCUAAUACCGCAUAGUUUUCUUGAUCGCAUGAUUGAGAAAGGAAAGACGGCCUUUGUGCUGUCGCUUAUGGAUGGACCCGCGGCGUAUUAGUUAGUUGGUGAGGUAACGGCUCACCAAGACGAUGAUACGUAGCCGACCUGAGAGGGUGAUCGGCCACAUUGGGACUGAGACACGGCCCAAACUCCUACGGGAGGCAGCAGUAGGGAAUCUUCCGCAAUGGACGAAAGUCUGACGGAGCAACGCCGCGUGAGUGAAGAAAGGUUUUCGGAUCGUAAAACUCUGUUGUCAGAGAAGAACAAGUUGGAGAGUAACUGCUCCAGCCUUGACGGUAUCUGACCAGAAAGCCACGGCUAACUACGUGCCAGCAGCCGC